UACGUAGGGUGCAAGCGUUGUCCGGAAUUAUUGGGCGUAAAGAGCUCGUAGGCGGUUUGUUGCGUCGGCUGUGAAAUCCCGAGGCUCAACCUCGGGUCUGCAGUCGAUACGAGCAAACUAGAGUGUUGCAGGGGAGACUGGAAUUCCUGGUGUAGCGGUGAAAUGCGUAGAUAUCUGGAGGAACACCGGUGGCGAAGGCGGGUCUCUGGGCCGAUACUGACGCUGAGGAGCGAAAGCGUGGGGAGCGAACAGG
RNAcentral lists this ribosomal RNA (253 nucleotides) under uncultured bacterium. Its description in RNAcentral is "partial 16S ribosomal RNA". It matches the Rfam family "Bacterial small subunit ribosomal RNA", at positions 524 to 776 of the family's 1533-position model. The record is from RNAcentral.